AAUGGGUCUGGACUUCCGGCGCCCUCUGGUGGCGGCCAUUUUGAUUGGUGUUGGGUUUAUUUGUCGGAGAGGCUCCUGAGCGCUAGGUCGGCACUGCGGUGACUGAACCCAGAAGGCGGAGAGCAGUUGUCCUCCGCUGCCCAGAGGCUACUCUGGAGCUCUGUGACGGCGCCCAGCGUGACCCACUCCUGGGCCAGGAGAGGGACUGUCGUGCCCAUAUCUCCUGGCUGGUCGCCCUCUCCUCCCGACCCUGCUUAAAACCACGUGGUUCGAUGGCUGCGGCGGCUACGCUGAGGCUCUCCGCUCAGGGCACAGUGACUUUUGAAGACGUGGCUGUGAACUUUACCUGGGAGGAAUGGAAUCUCCUUAGUGAGGCUCAGAGAUGCCUGUACCGUGAUGUGACCCUGGAGAACCUGGCACUUAUAUCCUCCCUGGAGAUGGGGUUUCACCAUGUUGGCCAGGCUGGUCUCGAACUCCUGACCUUGUGAUCUGCUGGCCUCAGCCUCCCAAAGUGCUUGGAUUACAGGGAUGAGGUUUCUCCAUGUCUGUCAGGCCUUGGUGUCUCUACCU
Molecule: small RNA, 570 nt
Filed under: Pongo abelii (Sumatran orangutan)
Lineage: Eukaryota; Metazoa; Chordata; Mammalia; Primates; Hominidae
Description: processed transcript
Source: RNAcentral